RNAcentral lists this long non-coding RNA (2526 nucleotides) under Salvia miltiorrhiza (redroot sage). RNAcentral describes it as "long non-coding RNA (SMIL_LNC010437)". The record is from RNAcentral. Lineage: Eukaryota; Viridiplantae; Streptophyta; Magnoliopsida; Lamiales; Lamiaceae.
CUAUGCAUACCCUCUGCCAUUUCCUUUAUCUUAAAAACUAAGAUUUCCAUUCAUCCCUCACAAUUCACUCUCUGCAAUUCACUCUCUGCAAAGAAAGAUUUCAGAUUCAAGAUCAAGACUCAGUCAAGCUUCACACACUUCAUCCUAUCGACAUUUCUUAAGGUUCCAUCAUAAACUUCUCUUACCUCUUUUUCCUUUCACAGCAAGAUUCGAGAUUUCCAAUCAACCAUAAGUUUACAUGUUUUGCAAAACUGUAAAAGAUGCAAACUUUUAUAUAUAAUCAUAUUCGGUCACAUCAUCAUUGUGUGUGUGUGUGUGUAUAUAUAUAUAUAUAUAUUAUAGAUAUUCAAAGAUUUAAGAAUACGGCUUUCACAAAAAAAAAAUGAGGGAGAAGUAGAUUUUUGAAGCUGUGUUUGCAUUCUUCGUUUUCAACUUUCAAUGUCGAGUCGGGAAGGGUGGGAGUGUUGACUGGUUGGCUGAAUCGGAGCUCGGCGGCGGCGGUGGCGGCCUGGCAGCUGCUGUCCGUCAAAGCCAGAGAGGAGAGGGGAGAACAGAGGGCAAUCUUGAGGGUGAAAUCGGCGACUGGCAGCGGUGGUUUGUUGCUGUCGAUGACGGUGGCAUCCGCUUGCUGCAAUCGCCGGAAUGGUGGAGAGCAGUAGGGGUGGCCUUCGUUUUGCUCACCGGAGUUUGAAGGGAGAUGGAACAAUGGCAGAUUGAGAGGGAGAAUCGGAGGUGGUAGUGGCGAGGGCGGCGGCGCGACGGUCCUUCGGGAUGCCGUUGCUCGACCGACCGAGAGGGAGAAAGAAGAGCAGGCAGCGGUGUUGUUGCGGUCGCCGUCGCGGCGCUGUGGUCGCCGGAGUGAUCGCCCACCGCGAGCAGGAGGAGAGAAAGAGACGGCGAGAGAGGAUGGGCCGUGAGGAGGCGCGGCUGCCGUCGACUCGCCGGGACUGGAGAAGGCGGCGGCGGCGGAUCUGUGGAGGGAGAAGAGGCGGUGGUUUUGAGAGAGAGAAAAAGAGUAAUUUUUGAGAGAGAGAGAGGACCGAUGGAGGGGUUGAGGAGAGAGAGAUGAGCUUGUUUUAAUUAUUCCUUUUUUUAUAGGGCUUUAUUUCUUUAAAGUUUGGACUUUCAUUUUGGGCCUCAAUAAUUAUUUUGCUAUGGGCCGACUCUUUUAUUAAUUUGAUGGACUGAUUUCUAUUUGUGAAUGGGCUGCUUUUUUUUUUAAACAAAAGCUAUGUGUUCAGUUUAUAUAUUUUACUUGAGCUCAUUUAAAUUGGGUAGGCCUAUUACAUUAUUUUCUUAAACCUUAAUUAUUAUUUUGAGCCUGUAAAUAUUUUAGUAAAUUUUAUUUACUUUUCUCCCAAUAUUAAGGUUUUGUAUUUUCUUUAAAUUAUUAACUAUUUAUAAAUUUAGUGAUAAUUAUAUUUAUUAAGUUAUUAAUUAUGUAUUAAAAGUUUAUGGAUUCACUUAAAGAUAUUAUAGAAUUCUUAUUCGGGCAAAGUGUAUCAAUAGUUAGCAAUCCCCAUAAUUGUUUAGAAGUUAGAAUAGCACCAAGAGACCUAUUAAGAAUAGAUUUCUUGUAGGCUUGAGGAUCAGGAGGAUUAGCACUGCGUUUCCGUGACGGGUUUACGAUUAAACUACAGGCUUUGCCUAUUCAGGUGGGUUAUAUUUUGCAUACAAUGUAUCUUGAGUUAUAUAAGCUCUGAUAUUUCAUGAAAAUUAUCUGUUUAUCCAAUAUAAAUGUUUUUAUGUGCGUUCUGUAAUUGUUUAAGGCUCACUUAAGUAUCGAUCGAGAUUCUCAUUUGGCCUAACACGCUAAACGAGGAUUGUGUACACAGGGUUAGUGGCUCGAUGGGUUGAUCACCAUCGUGCACUAACAGAUUUAGAACGUUAUAAGGGUGGGUGCUUGACAGGAGGUUAUCCGGAGCACGGUGCUUGACAGGAGGUUAUCCGGAGCACAGUUAAGGUUAUUGAUUCCGACCGGGUGCGUCCCGAGAUCAAUAACAGAUUUUGGAUCUGUCUGGGUGCGUCCCGAGAUCAGUGAAUGUAGGGAGAAAGUGAGUAACAAUCGAACGUACAUGGGCGCCCUCGACAAGAAAAUAUUUUUGUCAUGCUUAGAAGUGGGGUUUCGUUUUAAAACCUUCUAAGUCAUGAUUUUGAUAUUGGAUAAACUGCCUUAACAUUUCAUAAAAUAUUUCGAAAACUUGUGCCCACUGAGUACAUUAGUACUCAGCCCAAAUUAUUUUCAAAUAUUUUCAGGUUGAUCAGUUGGUGCAGAUGAGGCUGAGCUGAGGCUAAGGUUCCACGAUGUCUUUUGCUUCCGCUAAUAACUAUCUUGUCACCUCAUCCUCCAUCCCCUAAAUUGAGAAUUCCUAUUGUGUGGUAUAAUAUUAUCUUGUUGGGUUUAGACUCUUAAACCCAUAUUUCUUUUAAUGAAGCCAUCACUGAUUAUGAUCAGAGUCACGAAACUAAACUUAUGCGAUCCUGAGUUCGAAUAUUGUCAUUUGAUUAGCAUCUAUUAAUGCCUUU